This 64-nucleotide transfer RNA is filed under the name Melolontha hippocastani. RNAcentral's name for it is "tRNA-Tyr". The record is from RNAcentral. Lineage: Eukaryota; Metazoa; Arthropoda; Insecta; Coleoptera; Scarabaeidae.
AGUGAAGUGGCCGAGUUUAGGCGGUAAAUUGUAAAUUUAUAUACGAAAGCGAUUUCCUUCACUA